RNAcentral lists this transfer RNA (69 nucleotides) under Neucentropus mandjuricus. Its description in RNAcentral is "tRNA-Gln". Lineage: Eukaryota; Metazoa; Arthropoda; Insecta; Trichoptera; Polycentropodidae. The record is from RNAcentral.
UAUAUAUUAGUGUAAUUAUGCACGAAAAAUUUUGAGUUUUUUAGAUUUAAUUAAUUUUAUAGUAUAUAA